RNAcentral lists this ribosomal RNA (372 nucleotides) under Triticum aestivum (bread wheat). RNAcentral describes it as "partial small subunit ribosomal RNA". The record is from RNAcentral. Lineage: Eukaryota; Viridiplantae; Streptophyta; Magnoliopsida; Poales; Poaceae.
AUGGGGUGGUGGUUCACCGGGGUGUAUGGGCCCCGGGAGGAUACGGACAAGGUGGCUUUCAUGCAGGAGCUCAAGGUGAUCCGAGAUUUACAUCCAGGUCCCUGGAUGCUUGCCGGGGAUUUCAACUUGAUAGCGGAUCCAUCUGAUAAAAGCAACGACCGGAUCAACCGUCAGAUGAUGGGGCAUUUCAAAAGGUGCAUCACAGAUUUGGAUAUGCACGAGCUCUACCUCAAUGGUAGGAGGUCCACCUAGUCGAACGAGCGGCUAGAACCCACACUUGAGAAACUGGAUAGAGCUCUUGUUUCCGUGUGGGAGGCUCUCUACCAUGCCUCCUUCCUGUCGGCGCUCAGCACUAACAUCUCCGACCAAUGA